GGGAUUGUAGCUCAACGGUAGAGCACUCGUCUAGCAUGCGUGGGGCCCUGUGUUCGAUCCUCAGCACCA
Molecule: transfer RNA, 69 nt
Filed under: Ictidomys tridecemlineatus (thirteen-lined ground squirrel)
Lineage: Eukaryota; Metazoa; Chordata; Mammalia; Rodentia; Sciuridae
Description: Spermophilus tridecemlineatus (thirteen-lined ground squirrel) tRNA
Rfam family: tRNA
About the family: Transfer RNA (tRNA) molecules are approximately 80 nucleotides in length. Their secondary structure includes four short double-helical elements and three loops (D, anti-codon, and T loops). Further hydrogen bonds mediate the characteristic L-shaped molecular structure. tRNAs have two regions of fundamental functional importance: the anti-codon, which is responsible for specific mRNA codon recognition, and the 3' end, to which the tRNAs corresponding amino acid is attached (by aminoacyl-tRNA synthetases). tRNAs cope with the degeneracy of the genetic code in two manners: having more than one tRNA (with a specific anti-codon) for a particular amino acid; and 'wobble' base-pairing, i.e. permitting non-standard base-pairing at the 3rd anti-codon position.
Source: Rfam by way of RNAcentral